AUUGCAGGCUGCAACCCGCCUGUAUGAAGUUGGAAUCGCUAGUAAUCGUAGGUCAGCAUACUACGGUGAAUACGUUCCCGGGCCUUGUACACACCGCCCGUCAAACCAUGAGAGUUGGCAACACCCGAAGUCGGUAGUCUAACCGCAAGGAGGACGCCGCCGAAGGUGGGGUUGAUGAUUAGGGUUAAGUCGUAACAAGGUAAC
This 204-nucleotide ribosomal RNA is filed under the name uncultured bacterium. RNAcentral describes it as "partial 16S ribosomal RNA". It matches the Rfam family "Bacterial small subunit ribosomal RNA", at positions 1297 to 1500 of the family's 1533-position model. The record is from RNAcentral.